UCCCUGGCGGCCUCAGCCGGCAUCGAAUCACCGCGGUUCCCAGAGGGCGUGAGGGGCUGGCGUGGACACACCGGGAAUGGACCGUACCCUUUUUCAAAAGGAACUCAUGAUGUAUACAAAUAGAAUGCUCUUCCCCUUCUUUGCUGGCCAAUUCCUACUCAUCUGUUAAAACCAAGCUUAGAGAUUACCUCUUUGAUGACAUCUCUACCAAGUCUGAUUGAGAACAUCUCUGUGAGCACAUAGUAUUCUAACAUCUCUAUCAUCAUACCAUGAAAUCAUCAGAGCUGGCAUCUCGCUUUGUUACCCUUACCCAGGCUGGUCUUGAACUCCUGACUUUGAAGGAUCCUCCCACCUCAGCCUCCCAAAGUGCUAGGAUUACAGG
This 382-nucleotide long non-coding RNA is filed under the name Homo sapiens (human). RNAcentral describes it as "HSALNT0368056". The record is from RNAcentral. Lineage: Eukaryota; Metazoa; Chordata; Mammalia; Primates; Hominidae.